AGAAGAACAGCAUUACUGCUGUCAGUAAUAUUCAGUGUUAAUCAAUGCAACAAUAACUGAACAUUUGUGACAGUGAGAGUCAGCACUCUGAGCACAGUAAUUAAAGGGAGUAUCACACAAGUCUUGAUGAGUUCAAAACAUCGUUGGCAACAGUAUGUAUUCAUAAGGUUCAAGAGAAAAAUCAAUAAAGCACCAUUGCUAGAUCAAAAUCAUCCAAAAUACUGAAGAUUUCUACCAUCAGGUAUUGAGGAAACCAAGGAGUGACACAUGUCAAUAGACAAUUAGACAUCAUAACUAUAACAUCCUAAUUCAAUGGUUCAAAGGCUAACCAGCACAACAUGAUCAUAUCAAUACCUUAAACUUCGAGAUGAGUCCUUCCCACCACAUUUAAAGCACAUUUUUGGCAAUCCACUAAAGAAAAUAAAAAACGUCUAAAAUUCACUGUUCUUUGGUAGAAACCCAGCAUUACACUGUCAGUGAUAAAAACAACAAAUCAGAAGAAGAUAAUAUUCAACAU
Molecule: unclassified non-coding RNA, 517 nt
Filed under: Hevea brasiliensis (rubber tree)
Lineage: Eukaryota; Viridiplantae; Streptophyta; Magnoliopsida; Malpighiales; Euphorbiaceae
Source: RNAcentral